This is a long non-coding RNA of Oxyura jamaicensis (ruddy duck), 307 nucleotides long. RefSeq lists it as uncharacterized. Lineage: Eukaryota; Metazoa; Chordata; Aves; Anseriformes; Anatidae. The transcript is spliced from 2 exons. The record is from RefSeq and is a predicted model, not a curated record.
AGCUGCGCCCCACAUCCUGGCCAGCCCCUGGGCCAAAAGAAAGACAAAUCAGACACCUCUGGGAAUGUUUAGUCACUUCAAAGGACAAGCAUUUAAAGGCCUAUUUUAGAUUGGACUUACCCAAGGGCGUGACUUUUAUUUCAGGCAUUUUAACCAACUCUAGAUCCCAAACUACGCAGGAAUUAUUCUGCGGACACUCCGACAGGAUCCCCGCAGCCCAGAGAAGCCGCAGCGAGCCUCACCACCGCCAUUUCAACCCCGUUUCACACAGGAGGCUGAAGCGGGGGCCGGGCUUCAUCCUAGAGGG